AUUGAACGCUGGCGGCAUGCUUUACACAUGCAAGUCGAACGGCAGCGGGGAGGAGCUUGCUUCUCUGCCGGCGAGUGGCGAACGGGUGAGGAAUACAUCGGAACGUGUCGAGAAGAGGGGGAUAACCACCCGAAAGGGUGGCUAAUACCGCAUAAAUUCUGAGGAAGAAAGCUGGGGACCUAGGAAUAGGCCUAGCGCUUUUUGAGCGGCCGAUGUCGGAUUAGCUAGUUGGUGAGGUAAAGGCUCACCAGGGCGAAGAUCUGUAGCGGGUCUGAGAGGAUGAUCCGCCACACUGGGACUGAGACACGGCCCAGACUCCUACGGGAGGCAGCAGUGGGGAAUUUUGGACAAUGGGGGCAACCCUGAUCCAGCCAUGCCGCGUGUAUGAAGAAGGCCUUAGGGUUGUAAAGUACUUUUGUUAGGGAAGAAAAGUCAGCUGUGAAUAAUGGCUGAUACUGACGGUACCUAAAGAAUAAGCACCGGCUAACUACGUG
Molecule: ribosomal RNA, 494 nt
Filed under: uncultured bacterium
Lineage: Bacteria
Description: partial 16S ribosomal RNA
Rfam family: Bacterial small subunit ribosomal RNA
Source: RNAcentral